Long non-coding RNA from Corythoichthys intestinalis (scribbled pipefish), 1381 nucleotides. RefSeq lists it as uncharacterized. Lineage: Eukaryota; Metazoa; Chordata; Actinopteri; Syngnathiformes; Syngnathidae. The transcript is spliced from 3 exons. The record is from RefSeq and is a predicted model, not a curated record.
CCCUCACUUUCGCUCGCCAGCAGACUGUGAGUCACACAUAUUUGCCGCGCGUGUCAGUGUUGCUUUUUGAUGGAUCUUUACCUCCACACGUGCUGCUAAAACGAAUCCCCAUUAAGACUGUUGUGGACUUUGGGCCAGCUGCUCUGUCAGGAUUUCCUCUAGUUGGCAUUCAAUAAGGAACGACUAGAGGGGCCUUCCUUGACAGAUGCGGGGCUGGAAACAGGAAGCAAGCUAACGCCGUCACCUCCAGGUCGCUAUAAACAGUGACACAAGGAGUCACGAAGGGGAAGGGGUCUCGCGCCAAGUGAACAGCUACGAAAACAAACCCAACGGAAAAUGGAGAGCGCGUGUGUGCAUUCAAGAGUUUUAUCGCCCUCUGCUGGCGCUUGGGUGCGACUGAUUUUAGAGGCUUCAGCACCCAUGAGCAUUGUGAGUGCUGUCAGCAUUGCUGCAGAGAUUGAAGAGGUGGGAGCGUCAGCCUGUUAGUGCUCAGACCAUACGCCGCACUCUACAUCAAAUUGGUGUGCAUGGGUGUCACCCCAGGAGGAAGCUUCUUCUGAAGACGGUACACAAGAAAGCCCACCCGUCUCAUCGGACCAUAGGACAUGGUUCCAGUAAUCCAUGUGCUUGGUUGACAUGUCUUCAGCAAACUGUUUGCUGGCUUUCUUGUGUACUUUUUCAAGUAAUCUGUGACAACACUGCCCAUUAAAAGAUAAAUAUCCGUGGAAAUGCGAGGGGUGUACUCACAUUUGUGAUAUACUGCAUACGAAAGAUGAUUUUGCAACAUCUGCAGAACAUACAUUGGGAAGGUGGCGCAGUGAACAGAGACUGAGUGAAGCCAGAUCUCUAAUUAUGUAUCCGGUCAUGCUCUGUCGCUCUUUCUUUCAGCAAAAUGGUACAAUGCGGCCAGUUGUUACUGUAUAUAUUUCACUGAACGCUCCUAAUGUUUAACGCAAAAGAAACCCUGCCUCUCAUCCAAGUGACUUUGUUUUUCUAUGCAUCAUUAAGAUCAGAAUGUUGGACGUUUUGACCUCCCACUGUGAAAACUACAAUGGAAUGACCCACUAAAAGUAGAAGCCAUGUGGGGGGAAUUAAAAAUCCUGGCCUGUAGUUUUAUGAGAUCCCAAUUCGACACCUAUGGGGCAGAUUUCACCAAGUGUUUAUACACUAAAUAAUAACUUUACUACACACUUGGAAGAAAUGUUAACUGUACAUUCCCCAAAUAUGGCGCUGAAACGGUAUAACCAGAGACACAAAGCAGAGGCGUUUCUAGUAAACUAGGCGACAUGUGCAGUGUUUGCGUGACUGAGCAGCGGUCCAAGUCUCCAAGCAGCUGACUGAUGUAAACAAUAGGUCGUGAGCAAAGAGUCAAUGCAGAAGA